ACUAAAAGCUCAGCGGCUCUCGUGACGAAUACUCGUGCUCGAAUUAAAUUAAAAAAAAUAAUAUCUGUCAUUUGCGAUACCGGCGCGAAUUUUGACAUAAAUUUUGGCGGGAUAUGCUCGCGAGUUUUACGUUCGGAUACGCGAAUGAAGGAUAAUUUAGUGUGGGACUGUUCACGUAGCAAACUGUGGAACAACGUGGCAUCCUGUAUGGAGAAAUGGUUCGGUGAUAAACGGCUGUGGUUAUUUGGCAACAACCUGCCGCUGCUACCGAGAAGGUCACGCGCGAGCAGUCGCGCGAUGGAGCGCUACGAGAAGCUCGCCAAGCUGGGCGAGGGCUCGUACGGGCUCGUGUACAAGUGCCGCAACCGGGACACCGGCGAGAUCGUCGCCGUCAAGAAGUUCGUCGAAAACGAAGAUGAUCCACUCAUCCGGAAGAUUGCCCUCAGGGAGAUACGAAUGCUUAAAAACUUGAAGCAUCCAAACUUGGUGAACCUGAUCGAGGUGUUCCGGCGCAAGCGCAAGCUGCACCUCGUGUUCGAGUACUGCGACCACACGGUGCUACAUGAGUUGGAGAAAUAUCCUGCUGGCUGUCCAGAGCUUCUAUCGAAGCAGAUAAUAUGGCAGACGCUGCAGGGCGUGGCGUACUGCCACCGACACAACUGCAUCCACAGAGACGUGAAGCCGGAGAACAUCCUGCUCACCGGCGAGGGAGUCGUCAAGCUAUGUGACUUCGGCUUCGCGAGGAUGAUCAGUGGAAGCUGUUCAUCGGAGUACUCGGUGCAUACCAUGAUACCCUUCGGCGUGGAUGUCCGCAGGAGGGCUAGUCCAGGUCCUGGAGAGAGCUACACAGACUACGUGGCGACGCGGUGGUACCGCGCGCCGGAGCUGCUGGUCGGCGACACCAUGUACAGCACCCCUGUCGACGUCUGGGCCAUAGGUUGUGUCUUCGCAGAACUUCUGUCAGGCGAAGCAUUAUGGCCGGGCAAAAGCGACCUAGACCAAUUAUAUCUAAUACGAAAAACCCUUGGGGAUCUACUGCCCAGGCAUAUGACAAUAUUCUCACAAAACACAUUUUUUCAGGGUAUGGCGCUGCCGGAGCCAACCACGGUGGAGCCACUACAGAAGAAAAUACCGCAACGGUAUUCCAGCAACGAGCUGGUACUAGACUUUAUGCAUAAAUGCUUAGACAAAGAUCCGAUGGUGAGGUGGACCUGCGAGCAACUGCUGAGGCAUCCCAUCUUCGAGAACUUCCUCUUCACGGUACCACAUUCAGACCAUGAGGAGUACGAGAAAUCUAGAAGAGCGCAGCAUCGAUACUUGGGUCGGAGAAGUCAUUUAACAGAAUCACAUCCGGAGCCAAUCACAGUGGAUAUUAGCGUCGCGCAAUCCCCAAAGAAGGGUAAAGGCAAAAAGAAAUAGCGUCUCCAAGAUUUAUAACCUCUUGUGGUGUAAGAGGAACUGGAUACAAAAGUGCAGUCGUCACCCCUGCUGCCCCAACUGAUAGUGACGGACCGCAACCAGCAGAACAAGAACAAGAAGACAGAGCUGGACUCCAGGAGUCACCUGCCCACCAUCUGACUAGCGCCGCCGCGCGCGCGCAUCCUACCCUCAUUGUGAUUAAAUGUUCUUCAUAUUCAGAAA
RNA transcript from Spodoptera frugiperda (fall armyworm), 1641 nucleotides. It is a transcript of the gene named cyclin-dependent kinase-like 1, with no coding region annotated. NCBI's taxonomy places the organism in Eukaryota, Metazoa, Arthropoda, Insecta, Lepidoptera, Noctuidae. The transcript is spliced from 11 exons. The record is from RefSeq and is a predicted model, not a curated record.